GCCACCCACGCCACCAACUCCACCAAGCCCACUUGAACCACCGAGCCCACUAGCACCACCGAGGCCACCGACUCCACCAAUUCCUCCAAGCCCACCAGCACCACCGAGGCCAGUAAUCCCACCAAGACCUCCAACUCCACCAAACGGAAGCCCAUUAGAACCAAUGCCGGAGAAGCCACCAACACCACCGUAUGUUAGAAAGUUCUUUUGAUCAUCAAGGCCAGCAUCAGUGGGCGCACUUUUGGCAGUGUUAUGAACCACUUGAUCAUCAUGAUCACUAGGCGUAUUUCUUGCACUAGUGUGAACCGCUGCUACAGCAAGAACAAGCAUGACAUUGGCACACCACUUUGCCAUCUCUCUCAAAGAUUAUUAUUAUUUGAUUACUAUUAUGAAUUUUUCUUCUUAGUACAUGUGAACUAUUGUUGCGGGAGUCUCCUUAUAAAGGCUAAGAGGGCAUUGGGGAGGUAGUUGUGGGUAGUAAAUAGAAUUGAAUGCGGGCAACUUAGCUGGCACACUCGCUCAUAAGGUCUGCUGUUUGAAAUAUAUAUUUUCAAGGAUUUGUGCUUAGAGUAAAAUUGUUAUAGGAGUCAUCGUAAUGGUUUAAACGCCUGCUGUACGGCCAAGGCGGAUGUACGGUACAGCAGAAAUUUUGUUUUCAGAAGUACUGCAAGUUUUAAAAACAAUUAUGGACGUUUGAUAAAUUUUACUAUUAAACUGCUGAGAGUAAGUAAAUGAUUAAAAUAUAAAUAAUAUAGGAUAAAAUUUACUUAUACAUGUGAAAACACGUACACACAAUAUUUUUAAUUUUGUAUGAUGAUAAUUUUAACUAAAAAUAAAAUUUAUAAUAUAUAUUGAUUUUAUUUUUUAUCGUAAACAAUUGAUAAUUAAAUUUAUAAUAUAGUGAAACAAAUUUAAUAAUAAAUCGACCAACAAAUAUUGAUGAAUCAUAAUAAAAAUUUACUAAAAUAUUGGUUUUGUUUCCAAUUGAAUAAGAAUAAUUUUGGGUUUAGGUAAUAAUUUUAAAGAUAUUGAUGGAAUUGUAUUAAAGGAUAAAAUUGAUUUUUAAAAUCAGAAUCUAAAAGCUACUUCUUACUUACUUUUCAAAAUCAUCUGUAGUAGAGGCUGAUUUUGACAAAAGUGAUUUUGAUUUUUUUUUUUUACCAAACACUAAAAUUAACUUUUAGAUUUUUAAAAUUAGUUUUAAAUCUCCUAAAAGCAAUCCCAAAUAGAGCCUAACUCUAUUAUAAAUUCUUAAUUAAUAGCUCAUCUAAUAUUUGGUGUUAAAACAUGGACAAAAUAUCACAAAUUGGUAGGUAAAUUUGGACAUUUCAUUUCCACGACAUAUAGUCAAGUUUAAGGCUGUGGCCCGACAAAUUAAUGACCUUACUUUGCUUAGUGUAACGUAAUGCAUGAGCUUCGAUAACUUCAUAUGUAAACUUUAGUUGCUUUCGUUAAAGUUCUAUAACAUCAGUCAUCUCCAUUUAAAAGACAGAAGAAGAAGAAGAUAAAACACGCGAUUUAAUUAUUUACGUCGAAUAUCUCUGAAGUAGAGAAUUACAUUACAAUAACAUACCAAAAGCUCUCAAAACUAAAACUCAAAAGCAAACAGUAACUGAAACCAAAGUAAACGAACUAUCACACGAACAUGGCAUUAAAACUAAACUUUCUUAAUAACGCGCACGGGAAUAACGUGCACGGGAAACCCUCAAACAGGAAAAACCUUGAUUAAUUAAAAGCAAGUAAAGAAGCCCUAAUGUCUUCUAAGGCUCCAACUAUUUCAAGGGAAAGGAAGCACUCCAGUGCCAAUGCCAACUCCACCGGCAGAACCACCACCAACGCCGCCACCAGCACCACCUCCAACGCCGCCGCCACCGCCAACGCCGCCACCCACGCCACCAACUCCACCAAGCCCACUUGAACCACCGAGCCCACUAGCACCACCGAGGCCACCGACUCCACCAAUUCCUCCAAGCCCACCAGCACCACCGAGGCCAGUAAUCCCACCAAGACCUCCAACUCCACCAAACGGAAGCCCAUUAGAACCAAUGCCGGAGAAGCCACCAACACCACCGUAUGUUAGAAAGUUCUUUUGAUCAUCAAGGCCAGCAUCAGUGGGCGCACUUUUGGCAGUGUUAUGAACCACUUGAUCAUCAUGAUCACUAGGCGUAUUUCUUGCACUAGUGUGAACCGCUGCUACAGCAAGAACAAGCAUGACAUUGGCACACCACUUUGCCAUCUCUCUCAAAGAUUAUUAUUAUUUGAUUACUAUUAUGAAUUUUUCUUCUUAGUACAUGUGAACUAUUGUUGCGGGAGUCUCCUUAUAAAGGCUAAGAGGGCAUUGGGGAGGUAGUUGUGGGUAGUAAAUAGAAUUGAAUGCGGGCAACUUAGCUGGCACACUCGCUCAUAAGGUCUGCUGUUUGAAAUAUAUAUUUUCAAGGAUUUGUGCUUAGAGUAAAAUUGUUAUAGGAGUCAUCGUAAUGGUUUAAACGCUUGGGGUACCAGCUGAAAGAAAGUUACUGCGAUGGCCAGAGUGGCAAAUGCAGAAAUAAACAUGCAUGCCAGAUAUGGUGGUGACAAAUGAAAUGCUGAUUAGGGAUGUGGCGUUCGGGCAUGUGAUAUGCAGAGAAACAUUUGCCCAACCAAUCAAGUAAUUACAUUUGGUUGGAAGAAAAGGGCCGAUGUGAAGUGAUUGACUCAAUUCUGGGCAUUAUUAAUUUCCUGGACCAUUUCCAAUGACAUGAAAAAUUUUAAACUGUGUGUGACAAGGAACCUUACCUUUUGAGUUUUGAGAGGAAAUGCAAAUCCUAAUUAAGCUGUGAAAAAGUAAAAUUAAAUGUUCUUGCGUUGCGGAGAAUUAAGUAAAAAGUCAUCGAGCCUUUUCACUGAGCUGUAGUCCAUAACUCAUAAUACGUAGUAGCACGUGGUCAAUUCUAAACAUCAAUUUUUUUUUAUUAAAAAAAACUCUAAACAUUGAAUUAAUUUGCAAGAAAUAUUUCUUUUUUUUUUUUCAUCUUGGUAUUAGACUUCUAUAUCAAACAUUUUCUACUGUCAUUAUACUUUUUAUUCUACUAAUUAAUUUGCUUAUCUAAUCUAAAAGAAAAAAAAUUCUUAUCUCAACUAAAUUUGCGUGUUUUGGUUACUUUACUCACUCACUUUGUCAAUCUAGUUUUCUCUAACUAAAGACUUUUAGUUAACAUGUACUGACACAUUAAUUUAAUGGUAAAAUCUGUCCAAUCCUUUGGGACCAUCGUAAUUCAAGAGUUUGGAAAAAGUUAAACACUAUUUGCACACAAAAUUAUAAAUAAAAAUGAAUUAAUAAAUUUGUACAAUUUUAUAUGCAAGUAGCAUUACUCAUGGCAAAAUUUGAAGCAGUUAAUGGUUUUAUAUAGGGUAAGUUGAUUAUUAAAGAAUUAGAUUGUUUUGUUAAAUCUGAUUGGUGGUUAUUAAAUAUAAAGUUUCCAUUCAAUAUUUUAAUUUACUGUUGAGUUGCAUUAAAUAUUGGUUGGUCAAUGGAAGUCAGCUGCUAAAUUCAAUGUCGACCUACAUUCAAUCUCUACCUAACAAGUUUAAUUUGGGAUCGGAUACCUGCACAUUCUAAGUCCACCCCAAAUAUUACACUCCACCAUUCCCAACUCUUUACACCUAAAUUGAGAAAAUCGUUUGGAGAAAAUAUUGGUCAACACUAAUUGAAUCGUUGACUUAAACUAUAGGAAAUAAUAGAACAUUUACAACUGAGAAAAGUUUAGUAACACGACACAUAAAUUCUCCACCAGUUUUAUUUUUUCCUCUAUGUAUAGUAGUGUCUUUCAGCUAUAGGAUCAUUUUUCUAAUAUAUAAAUUAUCAUUAAAAUACAUGCUUAUUGAUAACGUAUUAUCAGUUUUGAUAUUCAGUUAUUGAUUCACCGAUCAUCCAAUUGAAGAAACGUGUUUUCAUUUCUUGAAUAAAACAUUAUACACUGAGAGUUAUUUAUAGAUGCAGAUGCUACAUUUUUUCAAAGAUUACAUAUGUAAAUACGGAAGGAAAUAGGUCUGUGUUGUGCGCGAGAGCUGGGCUGACGCUGGUGCUGCGUUGCGUUGCGCGCGCGGGACUGAUGUACUGCGCGAGGGUGAUUGCUGGAUUGAUUUGCGCUGUGCGCGCGAGCUGGAGCUGAGGAUCUGCGUUGCUAGGCGUUACUGCUGCUGCUUCGCGGGAUGUGUUGCGUGCACGGUUGCUGCUGAUUUCGCACAAUGGUGAUGGCUGGGGCUUGCUGCGUUGCACGCGGCUGCUUUCGCUGGUGGGACUUCGUUGCGCGCUGCUGGGCUGCGAGACACGGGAUGCUGGUGUUGCGCUCACGAGAUGGUGCGUUUUCCGGCGGGCUGGUUUGCUGCUGGUGUGCUGCAAGCGGCUGGAGAAGAAAACAAGUUCUGGAAAAUUAGGGAUUUUGUGAACAGUGAAUAGUGAACAGUGAUUUUCGAUUUUUGGUUUUUUUUUAAAUAAAUAAACAUAAUCAUUAAAGAACAUAUAUGGGAAUUAAAUAAAUAAAUAAAAUAAUUAUUUCAUUGAAUAGGGUUUCAUCUUUAACCUCAGUAUAAGAAAAUUAGCUGGACAUACUUAAAUUGGGAGCAACAAAAAAAAUAAAAUCAGCCAUGGGAAGCCGAAAUAUUGCUGCUGCAACUGGUCUCUUCCAACCUGACAUACUUGAAUUGGGAGCAACAAAAGAAAUAAAAUCAGCCAUGGGAAGCUUCCUUUUCCAAUUAUGAAACAAAGCUUCCAUAAUAACGCCAGCCAUUAAUUCCACUUUUGAAAGUCAAGUGUGGGCCCCAUUUAAAUUGCUUUCCCCUUUUGCAAUGCUAUGGACGUGCAACUCAAUUGGAGAAUUGAAAUUCUUUUUCAAUGCAAAUUGCUCUUAGCUCUUAACUCUAUCACAGCUUCAACUAAUAUUUCUCUAAAUUAUUAUUUUUUUUGCACUUUUUAUUUCCAAUCUCCAAUUAAUUUCCUAUUCAAUAAAACAAUUCAAUUAAUUAAAAAUAACAAAUAAAAUUAACUAGCAAAUAUACAAUAAAGGGUAAAAUAUGUAUAUAAAUUAUGCUCAUCACAUUGCUUAAUAUUUAUUAUUAUGGUUGGUUGAAUUAUAUACAUGGCAAUUAAUGAAUGAAAAUACAGGUGCUCCUGAAUCCCAAAACAUUUCCACGACAUAUAGUCAAGUUUAAGGCUGUGGCCCGACAAAUUAAUGACCUUACUUUGCUUAGUGUAACAUAAUGCAUGAGCUUCGAUAACUUCAUAUGUAAACUUUAGUUGCUUUAGCUAAGGUUCUAUAACAUCAGUCAUCUCCAUUUAAAAGACAGAAGAAGAAGAUAAAACACGCGAUUAAAUUAUUUACGUCGAAUAUCUCUGAAGUAGAGAAUUACAUUACGAUAACAUACCAGAAGCUCUCAAAGCUAAAAAUCAAAAGCAAACAGUAACUGAAGCCGAAGUAAACGAACUAUCACACGAACAUGACAUUAAACUAAACUUUCUUAAUAACGUGCACGGGAAACCCUCAAACAGGAAAAACCUUGAUUAAUUAAAAGCAAGUAAAGAAGCCCUAAUGUCUUCUAAGGCUCCAACUAUUUCAAUGGAAAGGAAGCACUCCGGUGCCAGUGCCAACUCCACCGGCAGAACCACCACCAACGCCGCCACCAGCACCACCGCCAACGCCGCCACCCACGCCACCAACUCCACCAAGCCCACUUGAACCACCGAGACCACCGACUCCACCAAUUCCUCCAAGCCCACCAGCACCACCGAGGCCAGUAACGCCAGCAAGACCUCCAACUCCACCAAGCGGAAGCCCAUUAGAACCAAUGCCGGAGAAGCCACUGACACCACCGUAUGUUAGAAAGUUCUUUUGAUCAUCAAGGCCAGCACCAGAGGGUGCAUUUUUGGCAGCGUUAUGAACCACUUGAUCAUCAUGAUCACUAGGCGUGUUUCUUGCACUAGUGUGAACCGCUACUACAGCAAGAACAAGCAUGACAGUGAC
RNAcentral lists this long non-coding RNA (5999 nucleotides) under Citrus sinensis (sweet orange). Its description in RNAcentral is "long non-coding RNA (CSIN_LNC002422)". Lineage: Eukaryota; Viridiplantae; Streptophyta; Magnoliopsida; Sapindales; Rutaceae. The record is from RNAcentral.